GAUGAACGCUGGCGGCGUGCCUAAUACAUGCAAGUCGAGCGAACAGAUAAGGAGCUUGCUCCUUUGACGUUAGCGGCGGACGGGUGAGUAACACGUGGGUAACCUACCUAUAAGACUGGAAUAACUCCGGGAAACCGGGGCUAAUGCCGGAUAACAUUUAGAACCGCAUGGUUCUAAAGUGAAAGAUGGUUUUGCUAUCACUUAUAGAUGGACCCGCGCCGUAUUAGCUAGUUGGUAAGGUAACGGCUUACCAAGGCAACGAUACGUAGCCGACCUGAGAGGGUGAUCGGCCACACUGGAACUGAGACACGGUCCAGACUCCUACGGGAGGCAGCAGUAGGGAAUCUUCCGCAAUGGGCGAAAGCCUGACGGAGCAACGCCGCGUGAGUGAUGAAGGUCUUCGGAUCGUAAAACUCUGUUAUUAGGGAAGAGCAAAUGUGUAAGUAACUGUGCACGUCUUGACGGUACCUAAUCAGAAAGCCACGGCUAACUACGUG
Molecule: ribosomal RNA, 497 nt
Filed under: uncultured bacterium
Lineage: Bacteria
Description: partial 16S ribosomal RNA
Rfam family: Bacterial small subunit ribosomal RNA
Source: RNAcentral